UGCAAGUCGAGCGAACAACGAGGAGCUUGCUCCUCUGACGUUAGCGGCGGACGGGUGAGUAACACGUGGAUAACUAAGACUGGGAUAACUUCGGGAAACCGGAGCUAAUACCGGAUAAUAUAUUGAACCGCAUGGUUCAAUAGUGAAAGACGGUUUUGCUGUCACUUAUAGAUGGAUCCGCGCCGCAUUAGCUAGUUGGUAAGGUAACGGCUUACCAAGGCAACGAUGCGUAGCACCUGGGGUGAUCGGCCACACUGGAACUGAGACACGGUCCAGACUCCUACGGGCAGCAGUAGGGAAUCUUCNNCAAUGGGCGAAAGGGAGCAACGCCGCGUGAGUGAUGAAGGUCUUCGGAUCGUAAAACUCUGUUAUUAGGGAAGAACAAAUGUG
RNAcentral lists this ribosomal RNA (390 nucleotides) under uncultured bacterium. RNAcentral describes it as "bacterial SSU rRNA". It matches the Rfam family "Bacterial small subunit ribosomal RNA", at positions 56 to 457 of the family's 1533-position model. The record is from RNAcentral.